Non-coding RNA from Microcebus murinus (gray mouse lemur), 3764 nucleotides. Lineage: Eukaryota; Metazoa; Chordata; Mammalia; Primates; Cheirogaleidae. The record is from RefSeq and is a predicted model, not a curated record.
UUCCCUCGAAGAUACUAUGUCCCUUGCUCACCCUUUUGUCACUUUCUCUUUUGCUCUGAUUUUCAGUCAUCGGUCUAUGAUGAGUCUAAAGCCCUAAUCACGUAGGAUCCUGUCGCUCCUAAUAAAGAGUUCAGACUUUAUUUGGAGAGAUGGAUGCAGUAGUUGAAGCCUUUGGACUUGAUAUGAUGUGCAUGUCCUGGUGGCUGCAGGUGGAGACCAGGGGCACGGUGGAUGCAGGGGAGGAUGAGGACACUGCUGCAGUGACCAGGACAAAGGCCAUGGCAACCAGGGCAAGGGCCGUGGGGACAGUGAGCUGUGAUCAAAGUCGGCCACGUUUUGAAAGUAGCUGAAAUAACAAUGCAUGGGAAUAUGCAUGUGUGUUAGGAAGAAAGAGAAAUCAAGGGUCUUUGCUGACUGAGUUUUCGACCUGAGAAUCUGGGCAGUGGCAGUGCUAUGCCCUGAGAAAGAGACAAUCUGAGCUAGGGAAGUAGACUGCGGGAAAUCUACGGUUCUCUCUUAAUAGCAAGUUUGAGACUCUGGGUAAGGGGAGAUGAUGAGUAGGAAGCUGAAGUGGGAAGUCUGAGCUAAGCGGCUAGCUCUAAGCCAGAGAUCAAAGCAACAACCUUGAAAAUCAUUCGCGCAUGGACGAGGCUGAAAGCCACUGGACUGGGUGAGACCAGCCAGAGACAAGGGUGGACGGGAAGGGACCAAGGGCCGAUCGCUGGAGAGGAGUUCCACAGAGAAGGGACAGACAGCAGAAGGGAGCAGGAAGGAGCUCAGAAAGUAGACAAACAGAGAGAGGUGCUUUCAAGAAAGCCAAAAGGAAAUGCUUCAGGAAAGAGGGAAUCAUAUUUGCCUUGGUCAAAUCAGGAUAAAAUUUUGCCACUGACUCGGGCAAUUUGACAGUGAAACGGUCGUCUCAGUGGACUGGUGGAGAGGAGGACCUGUUUGGAGAGGUUGAGGAGAAAACGGGAGAUGAGGAGGUGGAGAAAGUGAAGAUAAACUCGGUUUGUGCCGGGUGCGUUGAGGCAAGAAGCCACGAGGAAAUCACAAGAGCAGCUGAAGCUGCCCAACCUGCUUGUUCUUCCUAACGUGUCCCUGGUGCUACAGAGAGAAUAUUCUGUUCACGGUAGCUGGAACAGUGAACACCUAGAAAUUAGGAAGACAGGAUUUAGGGCCAGUUGUUUGCUUACUAAUCAUCGAGUAUGUCCCUUUUAUGUGGAUUGACGGAAUUCAGCCCCCAGCUCACACAGGAGUUAUGGCCAAAGACGUGGAUUUCUAAAGAAAAAUUCCAAGAUUCCAAGAAAUUGUUUUCUUCUAAGUUUCUGAGACCUGAAGAUGAGUACAGAAUCAUGACGAAACUUUCUGAUUAGAAAGGGAAUAUAUACGUGCAUGUGGUUAAACAGAAAAUUAAGAAACAUAGAAAAAUAUAGAAUGAAAAUGUAAUCUAUUUCCCACUGCCCACUUUGUCCCAUUUUCCGGAAGCAACCACUCUCAACAGUUUAUUUUGUAUCACAAGCCUAUCCCUUGUGUUUUACAUAAAUAAGAUAAUAUUAAACCCACCGCGUCGUAGUUUGCUUUCACUCAGCAAAGUACCAUGAAGAUCACUCUGUGUCAUCACUUGGCGAUCUGACCCAGAUCUCAUAUUCUGUUUUAUGCAUGUGUCAUAUUUUAUUUAAACAGUCCCUUAUCAAUUUCAGGUUGCUUCUUUGCCCUUCUAACACACCAUCCUGCAGUGAACAUUUUUUUAUGUAACUCUUGUUGUUUGGUAAGUGUAUCUAUUGGAUAAAUUCCUCCCACUGGAUGCGUAUUCUCAAAUUUUGUCAGAUGUUGCCAAAUUGUCUUGAGUUUAUACCAUCUCCUACAGAAUCGGAGGCCCUCUUUCUCCACAAAAAUGGUCAAUUACAUUGAUAGCCCCAAUUCUUCUCAUUCCUUGGACCACGUCCCUUGUCAGUCACUCUGUAGUCCCUCCCACGAAACAAGGGAAGAAAAGUCCUCCACUUGUUGGCUUGGGUUUGGCGGGGAUGCGCUUGGGUACGUUGGCACAAACCUACCGCAGCUUCAGGCUCCUGUCCUGCCCAGAGCUGACCCUCCGGAUCAGACGGCCCCGGGCCCCUGGACGAGCUGCAGGAACUUGGUCCAGAUGGACACCCUGGGAAGGUCGGGGAGACCUCCUGAGCUCCCCAGGUCUUGCUGGCCACUGACAUUCCUGCCAGCUGGCGACCCCUGUCCUGGGUGGCAUCUCCCAGGCCUGGUGCCAUCCUGCUUUCUCUUAGCCGCCUACUGGAAGCCAGACAUCACCCCUUGCUUGUUCUUCUUGCUUGAACAGACUUCCCACUCAGCCGCCUUUCUCUGCCCCUUCCUGCGGCAUCAGGCAGAGAAUUUCUCCUGUCCCCGGAAGGCGGGGGCGGCCGUGGGGCCGUGGUCGUGGUUCACGGGAUGGAAACGCAGGUUCGAGCUCAGGAUCUCCAACCCCUUUUCCCACCUUCCCGGGCUCCAGAGCCCUAUAGCUGGACUUGGAAACAUUUUUUUUAAUUUCUCCAUUUCUUCCCGUGUUUCCCUGAGAUCCUCUGAUGUCCACACUUGGUUUUCCUGUCAUUCCCACAGUCUUGGAGGCACCGAGGGCAGCCUCUAAGGAAGGAGGUGAGGACUGUCCGUGCGACAGUAUUUUACCCUCCAUGCAAAACACAGCACAAGCAGAAGCUGCGCCGCUCUCGCCGUCACCUUGAAAUUCUCACGCCAGCUUGCGUCCUAGGACCUCUGAGCAACGGCUGUUUCAAUAUUUGAAGAAUAGUUCCAAAUUUGAAGAAAAGUCUGUCAUAAAAUCACUUUGUAUUAAAUAAAAUGGUGUUUUACAGAAGUCCCUCUCAGCCACAGCCAGAUGAACGAACAUGAAGGAUGGUUCUGUAAACUUCCCUCCCACACAGACUGCAAGCACCCACCGAAUAACGCAGCACCAGGUAACGGGCCCCCCUGGGCAGGGCCGCCGGGUCGCUGGCGUUGCUGGUGUCCCAAGUUGGAGCACACAGCGAGCGGCGCGGAGACGCGCUUGGUCCUCAGAGCAGCACUCGGGCGUGUGGUGAACCCACAGCGUGCGAGCUCACCGCACCGUCUGAACAUGGGAAUUGGGCCACGUGACAGCACAUUUUGAUAAAUAAAAGACACAAGCCUCGUAGAUCUUGUGUGGACACGAGACACGUAAAGAUGUUUUGUCCAUUUGGCUGACGGACACUCUCUUCUCCAGAGAGGGGCUUUAUAAAUUCUGAAGCUCAGGAGCCAGAUGCCCUAAAUUACAUCAAUGUUUGAGUUACUCAAUGUCCAAUGUCAGCACUUCACAGUUAAUGCAGGGACGUCCCAGAAUCUGCCCCAGCUUCCCCAGGAAUGCAGAAUCCGCCCUCUCUACCCCCCGCCGCAGGUGGUGCGGGCCAGGUGGGGAAGGCUCUAAGGCUCACUGAACUUCACUGCAGGAAAACAAGAAAUCGGCCACCGCCUUGCAGGUCCCUGAGUCAGACGCCGGUUCCUGGGCAGGGUGGGGCUUGGAUGCUGCAGACUAAAGGGGCACAGCCGGGGAGUCUGUUGGGGGGUGGCAUGGAGUCCUGUAGAGUGCAGGGUGUCGUGCCAGCCCAAGGCCCCAGGACAUGAGCCACUUGGUUGGCAUGGCCAGCGAGGUCUGGCCAUUGGAUGGCUGGCGGAGCCAGUAUCCACAUCACUCAUGGCAGCCAGGGUCCCAGGAGCGGAGCCACCCGGCCCAAGACUCAGCUUAC